UUUUAUUUAUAAUUAUUUGACUCAGUUCAAUCAAUCUGAACAGGAAAUUCUUAAGAAAGUAUCUGGAUCAACCAAAAAAAUUUGUUCAAAGGACACAAAAAUCUGCAAAACCAGAAGAGGAGAUGAAGAAAUCUGAGGCCACUGUUCAAUCUGUCUCGAGCAGUUCUCAGCGGGUAACAAAAAUUCUGGGAAGUAAGAGAAUUCUUCCUGCAAAGCCUUCCAUAAACAUUGAAGCUAGCCCUAUGGAACUUGACACAAAAGAGUCAGAUGCUAAUCCAAAAUCCAAAUUCUUCUUUGGCUACUGCAUAGAAAGGAGUUUUGUGGCCUCAACCGUCCUGUAAUUUCCACAGAGAAAUUGAAAAAGUGAUAAACAAGAGCUGAAGGAGUCUGUGCAAGAGCUUGCUGCCCGAGCAGCUAGUUAUGCCAAAGCUGUAGCUGCAAAAAAUAUUGCACCACCAAAUUCAGCAUAUCAAUUCGAUGUUUCUUGGCGUGGACUUUCCGGUGACUAUAAUCUACAAGUUCAAUACUGAAGGUCUCCUCUAAUGCACUCUUCUUUGCUUCUUUCAGUUUUCAGCUUCACUCUGUUUAUACCAUUUAGACUGCAUUGGUUUUAUGCCUUUCUACUGCUCACCUUUUAUAUUAUAAUCAGUUCAGGUAACUUCACCCACAGCAUUACCUCAGAUAUUUAAGAAUACAUUAUCUGCACCUAUGCUUAUGCUUUAUGGACAUUGCUCGGUGUAUUGCCACAUUUUUCAUGAAAGAUGAAGAUUUGGCUGUUAGGUACUUGGAAAUCUGCCUAAGGUCCCAAGAUUCAGCAUGAUCAUCAUGUGUCUAUCAUCUUCUGAUAAAGCUGGAAAUAUAGGUAUUCGGAAGCUGGAAUUGAGCUUUUGGGGUUUUUAAAUUAAUUAAUUUAAUUUGUCUUAAGAAAGCUUUCCGUGAUCAGAUUCAUAUGUUGAGGUAUUUUAUCUGUCUUAAGAAAGCUUGUUUUCUGUAAUCAUUUGAAAAAACUGGGUUGAUGAUAUUGUUUGUUGGUUAUACAGGCUAUAGGUUGUAAAACAGGAUGUUAUAUGAGCCAUUCAGAGGAAAGCAAUUCAGGAUGUUAUACCACCCGUGCCAUGCUCUCCAAGUUCCUGAGUUGUUGAGUCUUCGAAGAUUCAAAAUACUACAAGGAAAAUUCAUGACUAUCAAUUCUCAUCUAGGGUGAAAAAUGAUAUUCAUCGUCUAGUAAUGAUGUAAAUGGGCAAUUUCCUUUUGCAUGAAACAGUCAUAUUGAAUAAACUAUUAUGUUGCUUUAUAUUUUUCAUGUCAAAAUACUUUUCAGUUAUGUAUGCACAUUUCAAUUAAUAUGUAGACAAUUGUACAUGAAUAUUUUUUGAUAUUAUUUGACAAAUAUUUGUUACAAUUGAUUUUCUUUUCAAUUGAAUGUGUAUAUAGAGUUUGUUUGUGGUUGCAA
RNA transcript from Ipomoea nil (Japanese morning glory), 1453 nucleotides. RefSeq lists it as uncharacterized. NCBI's taxonomy places the organism in Eukaryota, Viridiplantae, Streptophyta, Magnoliopsida, Solanales, Convolvulaceae. The transcript has 5 exons. The record is from RefSeq and is a predicted model, not a curated record.